UGGCGGCGUGGAUAAGACAUGCAAGUCGAACGAUCACUAUUGGGUAGCAAUAUUCGGUAGUGGGAGUGGCGCAAGGGUGCGUAACACGUGGGUAAUUUGCCGUAAAGUCUGGGAUAACUUGCUGAAAGGCGAGCUAACACCGGAUGUGAUUGUUGGAGGGCAUCCUCUGGCACUUAAAGUCGGGGACCGUAAGGCCUGACACUUUUCGAUAAGCCCGCGGCCUAUCAGCUAGUUGGUGAGGUAACGGCUCACCAAGGCUAAGACGGGUAGCUGGUCUGAGAGGACGACCAGCCUCACUGGAACUGAGACACGGUCCAGACACCUACGGGUGGCAGCAGUCGAGAAUUUUUCUCAAUGGGGGAAACCCUGAAGGAGCGACGCCGCGUGGGGGAUGAAUGGCUUCGGCCCGUAAACCCCUGUCAUUUGCGAUCAAACCUUACGACCUAACACGUCGUAAGCUGAUAGUAGCGGAAGAGGAAGGGACGGCUAACUCUGUGCCAGCAGCCGCGGUAAUACAGAGGUCCCAAGCGUUGUUCGGAUUCACUGGGCGUAAAGGGUGCGUAGGCGGUCGGGUAAGUCUGACGUGAAAUCUUCAAGCUCAACUUGGAAACUGCGUCGGAUACUAUUCGGCUAGAGGAAUGGAGGGGAGACUGGAAUACUUGGUGUAGCAGUGAAAUGCGUAGAUAUCAAGUGGAACACCAGUGGCGAAGGCGAGUCUCUGGACAUUUC
RNAcentral lists this ribosomal RNA (729 nucleotides) under uncultured soil bacterium. RNAcentral describes it as "bacterial SSU rRNA". It matches the Rfam family "Bacterial small subunit ribosomal RNA", at positions 37 to 739 of the family's 1533-position model. The record is from RNAcentral.